CCUGGGCGACUGCAUCGACUGCACGAUGUGCGUACAGGUCUGCCCCACCGGCAUCGACAUCCGCGACGG
This 69-nucleotide unclassified non-coding RNA is filed under the name Pseudomonas sihuiensis. Its description in RNAcentral is "Pseudomonas sRNA P10". Lineage: Bacteria; Pseudomonadati; Pseudomonadota; Gammaproteobacteria; Pseudomonadales; Pseudomonadaceae. The record is from RNAcentral.